GGCUUUUUGAUAAUAAUUUAAGGUCUAACCUGCCCAAUGAGGAUUUAAAUGGCCGCGGUAUUUUGACCGUGCAAAGGUAGCAUAAUCAUUAGUUUUUUAAUUGAAAGCUGGUAUGAAAGGUUGGAUGAGAAAAUAGCUGUCUCUGCUUUAACUAUUUAGAAUUUUAUUUUUAAGUAAAAAAGCUUAAAUUUUAGUAGAAGACGAGAAGACCCUAUAGAGUUUUAUUUAUUUUUUGUUUAAAAUUUUAAGUAUUGAAAAUUUUUAUGUUUAAAAUAAAUUUAAUUGGGGUGAUUGAAAAAUUUAUUAAACUUUUUUUUUAUAUAAUCAUUAAUUUAUGAGUUUUUGAUCCUUUUAUAAAGAUUAUAAGAUUAAAUUACCUUAGGGAUAACAGCGUAAUUUUUUUAAAGAGUUCAAAUCGAAAAAAAAGAUUGCGACCUCGAUGUUGGAUUAAAAUAAAAUUUUGGUGUAGAAGCUAAGAUAUUUAGGUCUGUUCGACCUUUAAAAUUUUACAUGAUCUGAGUUUAAACCGGUGUGAGCCAGGUUGGUUUCUAUCUCUACUUUGUUAUAAUAUUUUAGUACGAAAGGACCAAGUAUUAGUUUGAUAAAUUUAUUUUAGAAUAAUAUU
RNAcentral lists this ribosomal RNA (625 nucleotides) under Malvinius sp. MAM1. RNAcentral's name for it is "partial 16S ribosomal RNA". It matches the Rfam family "Bacterial large subunit ribosomal RNA", at positions 1819 to 2742 of the family's 2925-position model. The record is from RNAcentral. Lineage: Eukaryota; Metazoa; Arthropoda; Insecta; Coleoptera; Curculionidae.